UCACAUUCUACAAUCAAAUUGUACUCGGAACUACAAGAUAUGAGAUAAAAGUUAGUAAAUCACUCCAUUUUUGUCCAACGUGCCGUCACGAACCGGUUUUUUCUAAAAAGUUAUUAUAAACCGGAUUAAAGUUCUUCAAAAUGCGUGAAAUAGUGCACGUUCAAGCUGGGCAAUGUGGAAACCAAAUAGGAUCCAAGUUUUGGGAGAUAAUUUCGGACGAACACGGCGUCGACCCCAACGGUUAUUACAAAGGGGAGAGCGACUUACAACUCGAAAGAAUAAGCGUUUACUACAAUGAAGCUGGUACAGGUAAAUAUGUACCCCGUGCGGUGUUGGUGGACUUGGAACCCGGCACCAUGGACUCAGUCAGGUCCGGGGAGUACGGACAGCUGUUCAGACCAGAUAACUUCGUGUUCGGACAGAGUGGUGCUGGUAACAACUGGGCGAAGGGUCACUACACAGAGGGCGCUGAGCUCGUCGACGCUGUCAUGGAUGUCAUCAGGAAGGAGGCGGAAGGCUGUGACUGUUUACAAGGAUUCCAGUUAACCCACUCCCUAGGCGGUGGUACAGGAUCUGGCAUGGGUACUCUACUGCUCAGCAAAAUCCGUGAAGAGUUCCCAGAUAGAAUUAUGAAUACUUUCAGUGUGGUUCCUUCUCCUAAGGUAAGCGAAGUGGUGCUGGAGCCGUACAACGCGACGCUGUCGGUGCAUCAGCUCGUAGAGAACACCGACAUGUCAUUCUGUAUCGACAACGAGGCGCUCUAUAACAUAUGUUUCCGCACGCUCAAGCUAGCCAGCCCCAGCUACGGAGACCUUAAUCAUUUGAUUUCGCUCACAAUGUCCGGAGUGACCACAUGCCUACGUUUCCCGGGACAACUGAACGCCGACCUCAGGAAGUUGGCUGUCAACAUGGUGCCCUUCCCUAGGUUACACUUCUUCAUGCCAGGUUUCGCUCCGUUAACAGCAAGAAAUGCCUUCAACUUCCGCGCACAAUCUGUACCAGAACUAAUGAGCCAGAUGUUCAACUCGGGUAACAUGAUGACGGCCGCGGACCCGCGUCACGGCCGCUACCUGACUGUGGCCACCAUCUUCAGAGGCAGGAUGUCCAUGAAGGAGGUCGAUGAACAGAUACUGGCUAUACAGAAUAAGAAUUCUAGCUAUUUCGUAGAAUGGAUCCCUAACAACCUGAAGGUGGCAGUGUGUGACAUUCCGCCGCGAGGGCUGAAGAUGUCGGCCACGUUCAUCGGCAACAGCACGGCCAUACAGGAGAUAUUCAAGCGCAUCUCCGAGCAGUUCACCGCCAUGUUCAGGAGAAAAGCUUUCCUCCACUGGUACACGGGCGAGGGCAUGGACGAGAUGGAGUUCACAGAGGCAGCCAGCAACAUGGCGGAUCUUAUCUCCGAAUAUCAACAGUAUCAGGAGGCAAGCGUGGAUGAUGAUGACGUGUUUGAUGAAGAAGAAGAGGCUCCCGAGGAGUAUAGGAUGGAACCCACCAAUAACACCAUGGAAAUGAUAUAAAAAACUAAAACUAAAAUAAAAACAACGGCAUUUUUACUAUUUUUAGUUUAUAUAUUAUCUUUUAUUUUUUUUAUCACCAUUUAUUUUCGUUUUAGUUGUAAGUAAUCGUGUUUUUUUAUUAUUACAAUUUUAAAAUUCCAAUUUGUGUUUGUUUAAAAAUCCGUGUUUGUGUUGUUUUUAAUUUAAAAUUGCGUUUUUUUUAAUUUGCCAGCAAUGCAUAAAAAAAUUGUCUGUGUAAAAAGCAGGGCUUUUUACUUUAUUUUUUAUUUUAGAAAAAAAAAUCUUGAUUAAUAGCAUGACAAACGAAAAAACGCUUUUUUAAAUUAAAAAAAAAUUAAUUGAAUUGCCUAAUUGUUAAAUGUAUCAAUCAGUAUGUCAAUUAAUGUGAUUUUUCAUAUCAUUAAUGAAAAGUGCUUGUAGUUCACAUAAGUGUUUCUAGAGCUUUCAAAUAAAUAUUUAUACAAAGUACAUACAAAACAAUUUUAAUUAUAUGUGAGUGAUUUCCAAAGAUAGCGAUCGUAGAAGCUUGAGAGGUCUAAAAUUAACAAAAACUGCAGUUCUAAGGCCCGCCGCUGAUUGUAACUUUUUGUCCCCGUGACUUUUUGUCACUGUCACCUGCUAUCACCCACGAUGCGCUCACUGAAUCUGUUCUUGGGUGACAAAUCGCGUUCAUUUUUGUAUGCCGGCUGAGUGACAAAAAGUCACCGAGUGGACUCCCAUUGUAAUGUACAGGGCGAGUGACAGUCACGUCACUCCGGCAUUGCCUGCUGCUGCAACUAUUUGUCACCAUAUUGUCACGUCACCAUAAUGAGCGCACUAGUUUUCAUUGCACUUGACUAAGUGACAAUAAGUCACGGUGACGAAAAGUUGCAAUCAGCGGCUAGCCUAACAUUGUGUAUUUUUGAUAUUAAGGCCACUAAAUGGUGAAGGAAAACAUCUUGAGGAAACCUGGACUAUAAAGUCUGAAAUUGUCAAUCCGCUGUGAGCAAGCGUGGUGAUUAACGCUCAUUCCUUCUUUGUAUGAGAAGAUGCUUAAAUUCCAAAGAAAACUCACUUUUAAUUUAAUAAUUUCUUGUAUUUCCUUUUCAAUUUUAAUUACUAUUAAUAUUAUUUUCAUAUUAGAUCAAGCUUUAAAUUGAAAAUUAUGUAGCGGUUUUUUAAAUCAAUUUAAAAAUCCGUCUUUUUUUUUAAACCGUUUUUAAGCCAUUUUUAAAUUAUAAUGUUAAUUAUUAAGCAUACGUUUGUUGAGCUGUGUUAAGCAUUAAAAUGACGCAGGAAUGUUAUCAUUUAUUAUUUUUGAAAAAUAAAUCAUAUAAAUUGUGUAAAA
RNA transcript from Helicoverpa zea (corn earworm), 2844 nucleotides. It is a transcript of the gene named tubulin beta chain-like, with no coding region annotated. The record is from RefSeq and is a predicted model, not a curated record. NCBI's taxonomy places the organism in Eukaryota, Metazoa, Arthropoda, Insecta, Lepidoptera, Noctuidae. The transcript has 13 exons.